GAUGAACGCUGACAGAAUGCUUAACACAUGCAAGUCAACUUGAAUUUGGGUCUUUUGACUUAGAUUUGGGUGGCGGACGGGUGAGUAACGCGUAAAGAACUUGCCUCACAGUUAGGGACAACAUUUGGAAACGAAUGCUAAUACCUGAUAUUAUGAUUUUAAGGCAUCUUAGAAUUAUGAAAGCUAUACGCGCUGUGAAAGAGCUUUGCGUCCCAUUAGCUAGUUGGAGAGGUAACGGCUCACCAAGGCGAUGAUGGGUAGCCGGCCUGAGAGGGUGAACGGCCACAAGGGGACUGAGACACGGCCCUUACUCCUACGGGAGGCAGCAGUGGGGAAUAUUGGACAAUGGACCAAGAGUCUGAUCCAGCAAUUCUGUGUGCACGAUGACGUUUUUCGGAAUGUAAAGUGCUUUCAGUUGGGAAGAAAAAAAUGACGGUACCAACAGAAGAAGUGACGGCUAAAUACGUGCCAGCAGCCGCGGUAAUACGUAUGUCACGAGCGUUAUCCGGAUUUAUUGGGCGUAAAGCGCGUCUAGGUGGUUAUGUAAGUCUGAUGUGAAAAUGCAGGGCUCAACUCUGUAUUGCGUUGGAAACUGUGUAACUAGAGUACUGGAGAGGUAAGCGGAACUACAAGUGUAGAGGUGAAAUUCGUAGAUAUUUGUAGGAAUGCCGAUGGGGAAGCCAGCUUACUGGACAGAUACUGACGCUGAAGCGCGAAAGCGUGGGUAGCAAACAGGAUUAGAUACCCUGGUAGUCCACGCCGUAAACGAUGAUUACUAGGUGUUGGGGGUCGAACCUCAGCGCCCAAGCAAACGCGAUAAGUAAUCCGCCUGGGGAGUACGUACGCAAGUAUGAAACUCAAAGGAAUGGACGGGGACCCGCACAAGCGGUGGAGCAUGUGGUUUAAUUCGACGCAACGCGAGGAACCUACCAGCGUUUGACAUCUUAGGAAAGAGACAGAGAUGUCUCAGUGUCCUGCGGGGG
RNAcentral lists this ribosomal RNA (983 nucleotides) under Fusobacterium sp. oral taxon 203. RNAcentral describes it as "bacterial SSU rRNA". It matches the Rfam family "Bacterial small subunit ribosomal RNA", at positions 28 to 1025 of the family's 1533-position model. Lineage: Bacteria; Fusobacteriati; Fusobacteriota; Fusobacteriia; Fusobacteriales; Fusobacteriaceae. The record is from RNAcentral.